AGUGAACGCUGGCGGUAGGCCUAACACAUGCAAGUCGAACGGCAGCACAGUAAGAGCUUGCUCUUACGGGUGGCGAGUGGCGGACGGGUGAGGAAUACAUCGGAAUCUACUUUUUCGUGGGGGAUAACGUAGGGAAACUUACGCUAAUACCGCAUACGACCUACGGGUGAAAGCAGGGGAUCUUCGGACCUUGCGCGAUUGAAUGAGCCGACGUCGGAUUAGCUAGUUGGCGGGGUAAAGGCCCACCAAGGCGACGAUCCGUAGCUGGUCUGAGAGGAUGAUCAGCCACACUGGAACUGAGACACGGUCCAGACUCCUACGGGAGGCAGCAGUGGGGAAUAUUGGACAAUGGGCGCAAGCCUGAUCCAGCCAUACCGCGUGGGUGAAGAAGGCCUUCGGGUUGUAAAGCCCUUUUGUUGGGAAAGAAAAGCAGCAGAUUAAUACCCCGCUGUUCUGACGGUACCCAAAGAAUAAGCACCGGCUAACUUCGUG
This 492-nucleotide ribosomal RNA is filed under the name uncultured bacterium. Its description in RNAcentral is "partial 16S ribosomal RNA". It matches the Rfam family "Bacterial small subunit ribosomal RNA", at positions 29 to 507 of the family's 1533-position model. The record is from RNAcentral.